AAGUCGUAACAAGGUUUCCGUAGGUGAACCUGCGGAAGGAUCAUUAAUGAAUUUAGGAGGUUUGCUGUGCCGUCUUAACGGAAUUGUGCACGCUUACCUCUAUAAUCCUUAUUCAACACCUGUGCACCUUUUUAUUAGAGAGAAUGGUAGUAAAAUACUAUGAUCUCUAGUUAAUAACACACUCUUUAUGUCAAUGAAUGUUAAUUGGCCGAAAGGCUACAAAUAAAAACAACUUUUAACAACGGAUCUCUUGGCUCUC
This 259-nucleotide unclassified non-coding RNA is filed under the name air metagenome. RNAcentral describes it as "partial contains small subunit ribosomal RNA, internal transcribed spacer 1, and 5.8S ribosomal RNA". The stretch from base 1 to 46 matches the Rfam family "Eukaryotic small subunit ribosomal RNA", at positions 1786 to 1831 of the family's 1831-position model. The record is from RNAcentral.